GGCCAGUGAUUGCAAACACAUAUUUGCUACUCUUGAAAGCACGGCCACGGCCGCGCCUUACUGACGACACAACAACACCAAGAUCUAUGAGGCC
RNAcentral lists this small nucleolar RNA (94 nucleotides) under Chlorella variabilis. RNAcentral's name for it is "Small nucleolar RNA SNORD24". It matches the Rfam family "Small nucleolar RNA SNORD24". From Rfam's summary of the family: U24 is a member of the C/D class of snoRNA which contain the C (UGAUGA) and D (CUGA) box motifs. C/D box snoRNAs have been shown to act as methylation guides for a number of RNA targets. U24 is encoded within an intron of the gene for ribosomal protein L7a in mammals, chicken and Fugu. The record is from Rfam by way of RNAcentral. Lineage: Eukaryota; Viridiplantae; Chlorophyta; Trebouxiophyceae; Chlorellales; Chlorellaceae.